This 482-nucleotide ribosomal RNA is filed under the name uncultured bacterium. Its description in RNAcentral is "partial 16S ribosomal RNA". It matches the Rfam family "Bacterial small subunit ribosomal RNA", at positions 30 to 507 of the family's 1533-position model. The record is from RNAcentral.
AUUGAACGCUGGCGGCAUGCCUUACACAUGCAAGUCGAACGGUAACGGGCCUUAGGGUGCCGACGGGCGGCGAAGGGGGGAGUAAUACAUCCGCACGUGCCCGAUCGUGGGGGGUAACGCGGCGAAACCUUUAAUCAUAACGCAUACGGUCUACGGAUGAAAGCAGGGAGCCGCAAGGGCUUAUGCGGGCUGCGCGGCCGGUGGCAGAUUAGGUAGCUGGUGGGAUACAAGCUUACCAAGUCGACGCUCAGUAGCUGGUCUGAGAGGAUGAUCAGCCACACUGGGACUGAGACACGGCCCAGACUCCUACGGGAGGCAGCAGUGGGGAAUUUUCGACAAUGGGCGAAAGCCUGAUCCAGCAAAGCCGCGUGGAGGAUGAAGGUCUUCGGAUUGUAAACCGCUUUUGUUCGGAACGAACAGCCUUCUUUUAAAACAGGCGCGUCAUGACGGUACCGUAAGAAAAAGCACCGGCUAACUACGUG